GGGGGGAGUAUAAAAUUUAGUGUUAUCUUCUAUUCAAAACAGACAUCCAAAAUAUGAAAAUACCAUGUCCCUCAGCUGCUGCCCUGGUCCCUCGUUUCCAGAGUCAGGCCCUGUAUGUUUGUCCCUUCAAUGUGUAUGACUGAGAGUACAUCCUAUGAGCUGCUUGUGUAUCUCUACAUGUAGACGUGAUGAGCCUUAUAAGAGACAAUCUUAACUGCCACAGCUCUCUGAGCGGGAUUUGCAGGUAUCUGUAUGAGCUCCUCCAAUGUAGUGUGUUUAACCACUUGUGGAAAGAGCUCACACAUCAGCUGUGUCACUGCCUUUCUUCUGCACAUACUGUAUCUACUGCACUGCUGCGUCACUGGCUCCACCAGGAUUAACCAGUCUACAGCAGGCUGUGAUUAGAUUCCUUUUCCAAUCACAGUUGCUACUUCUGCAGGCUCUUUGAAGCAGGAGUUUUUACUUUUCUGUCUCAUAUUUUGUUUAGCUCUGUCAUGGUUAAUAAAUGACCAUACAGUCUCUGAAAGUUAAAUAAAGUGUGGGUGCUCUGUUGGACAGGAAAGCAGUGUGUUUAUGUGCCAGUCUUUAUUGGAGGUAACUUGAGGCAAGUGAAAUCAAAGAGUGAGAGCAGACUGCUGUACAACUAAUGCUGUGUUUAUCUUCUGCAUAAAGCCUUGUUGUGUAGCAACCUGAUGUGCUUUGGCAUAAACAAAUAAAGUGUGUUCAAAUACAGUGUAGUUUUGUUUCUUUUAAUUUUUUAAAUAAUAUUCAUUUUUCACUUCCAACUUGAGCACAAGGUUCAGAGAAUAAUCCUCGUGCUCAAUGUCAGUCAAGGUUAAACUGCUGUUGAGGCUUUGAGAAGCGUGGAAUGGCAAUCUGCAGCACAGACUGUUAAAUUCUCUACUUUUUUCUACUAUGAUUCCAAAGGUUGGCUCUUCCCAUCUUUAUCUGGGCUAAGUUUAUGAGACUGUAAAUAUGUAACUGAGCGGCUAAACUGAAAUAUGUAUAAAGGAGUGGAAAAAUUAUGCUUAUGUGUGUGUGUGGCCAUGUUUUUUUUUUUUUUUUUUUUACCUUGUGGGGACUAUUUUCCAGGAGUAUAUUAUUCAUAGGGUUUAUAGGUAUUUGUGGGGACCAACCACUGGUCCCCAUGAGGAAAAGUUCUCUUGCAUGGGAGUGAAUGGGGGUGGAUCCCUGAUAAUUAAAGGUAGGUUGCAGACAGGAACACACACCUGGACAGAAGUAAUACAGAAUCUUCAGCAGCUCAGUUCUGUCAACUGAACUCACAAAGACAAAACAUCAUGUCUUCUCCUAAAGAUGCACCAACUGACUGGGAUGCAGAUUUUGUUUAUGACUAUGAAACUCUGCGUGUGGGAGGACUGGCCUUCGCUGGAGUUAUUGUCUUCCUUUCCAUUAUACUGUUGUGUGG
Molecule: long non-coding RNA, 1426 nt
Organism: Cyprinodon tularosa
Lineage: Eukaryota; Metazoa; Chordata; Actinopteri; Cyprinodontiformes; Cyprinodontidae
Exons: 5
Source: RefSeq, a predicted model, not a curated record